Molecule: ribosomal RNA, 497 nt
Filed under: uncultured bacterium
Lineage: Bacteria
Description: partial 16S ribosomal RNA
Rfam family: Bacterial small subunit ribosomal RNA
Source: RNAcentral
GAUGAACGCUGGCGGCGUGCCUAAUACAUGCAAGUCGAGCGAACGGACGAGAAGCUUGCUUCUCUGAUGUUAGCGGCGGACGGGUGAGUAACACGUGGAUAACCUACCUAUAAGACUGGGAUAACUUCGGGAAACCGGAGCUAAUACCGGAUGAUAUUUUGAACCGCAUGGUUCAAAAGUGAAAGACGGUCUUGCUGUCACUUAUAGAUGGAUCCGCGCUGCAUUAGCUAGUUGGUAAGGUAACGGCUUACCAAGGCAACGAUGCAUAGCCGACCUGAGAGGGUGAUCGGCCACACUGGAACUGAGACACGGUCCAGACUCCUACGGGAGGCAGCAGUAGGGAAUCUUCCGCAAAGGGCGAAAGCCUGACGGAGCAACACCGCGUGAGUGAUGAAGGUCUUCGGAUCGUAAAACUCUGUUAUUAGGGAAGAACAUAUGUGUAAGUAACUGUGCACAUCUUGACGGUACCUAAUCAGAAAGCCACGGCUAACUACGUG